RNAcentral lists this unclassified non-coding RNA (329 nucleotides) under soil metagenome. RNAcentral's name for it is "partial contains 5.8S ribosomal RNA, internal transcribed spacer 2, and large subunit ribosomal RNA". The stretch from base 1 to 120 matches the Rfam family "5.8S ribosomal RNA", at positions 35 to 154 of the family's 154-position model. The record is from RNAcentral.
GAUGAAGAACGUAGCGAAAUGCGAUAAGUAAUGUGAAUUGCAGAAUUCAGUGAAUCAUCGAAUCUUUGAACGCACAUUGCGCCCUCUGGUAUUCCGGGGGGCAUGCCUGUUCGAGCGUCAUUACAACCCUCAAGCUUUGCUUGGUAUUGGACAUUGCCAGUUUCUGGCAGGUCUUAAAAUCAGUGGCGGUGCCAUUUGGCUUCAAGCGUAGUAAUUCUUCUCGCUUUGGAGAUCCAGGUGGUUACUUGCCAAUAACCCCCAAUUUUUUCAGGUUGACCUCGGAUCAGGUAGGGAUACCCGCUGAACUUAAGCAUAUCAAUAGCGGAGGA